RNAcentral lists this ribosomal RNA (741 nucleotides) under uncultured Mycoplasma sp. Its description in RNAcentral is "bacterial SSU rRNA". It matches the Rfam family "Bacterial small subunit ribosomal RNA", at positions 462 to 1229 of the family's 1533-position model. The record is from RNAcentral. Lineage: Bacteria; Bacillati; Mycoplasmatota; Mollicutes; Mycoplasmatales; Mycoplasmataceae.
AUAACAACUGAUAGUACCUCAUGAAUAAGUGACAGCAAACUAUGUGCCAGCAGCUGCGGUAAUACAUAGGUCGCAAGCAUUAUUCGGAUUUAUUGGGCGUAAAGCAAGCGCAGGCGGAUGUGUAAGUUCUGUGUUAAAAGUAGCUACUUAAUAGUUGUUUGCACCGAAUACUACAUGUCUAGAAUGUGGUAGGAAGUUUUGGAAUUAAACAUGGAGCGGUGGAAUGUGUAGAUAUGUUUAAGAACACCGGAGGCGAAGGCGAAAACUUAGGCCAUAAUUGACGCUUAGGCUUGAAAGUGUGGGGAGCAAAUGGGAUUAGAUACCCCAGUAGUCCACACCGUAAACGAUGGGUAUUAGGUAUUGGGGUUUGAGCCUCAGUGCUGUAGCUAACGUGUUAAAUACCCCGCCUGGGUAGUACAUAUGCAAAUAUGAAACUCAAAGGAAUUGACGGGGACCUGAACAAGUGGUGGAGCAUGUUGCUUAAUUCGAUAAUACACGAAAAACCUUACCAAGGUUUGACAUCCUUCGCAAAGCUAUAGAAAUAUAGUAGAGGUUAUCGGAGUGACAGGUGGUGCAUGGCUGUCGUCAGCUCGUGUCUUGAGAUGUUUGGUUAAGUCCCGCAACGAGCGCAACCCUACUCUUUAGUUAUUUUUCUAAAGAGACUGCACAGUAAUGUAGAGGAAGGUUGGGAUCACGUCAAGUCAUCAUGCCCCUUAUGCCUUGGGCUGCAAACGUGCUACA